RNAcentral lists this unclassified non-coding RNA (8223 nucleotides) under Camponotus floridanus (Florida carpenter ant). RNAcentral describes it as "f-actin-monooxygenase Mical, transcript variant X1". The record is from RNAcentral. Lineage: Eukaryota; Metazoa; Arthropoda; Insecta; Hymenoptera; Formicidae.
GUAGCCUCUCAGCCUCGGCAGCUGCCUUUAGUAUGUGUCAUAUAGCGCUCGGUGUGACUGAGCAAGUCGAGCCGAGGUUGUAGAAGGAAAUGGACGAUAGUGGGUGUGUAAUGCUUAUAUUUAUGCGGUGAGUUGUAUGUAUCUCGAUGAUCAGUCGAAAGACAAGUCGAUUAGCAUCAUAUGAAUGAUGAGAUCCUAUCGGUAUUUCCAUGGUGCGUGAAUCUUAUGCUCGUCCACCCCGUUCUACGCCCCCGUUUUUUCUCCCCCUCGUCAUAUGUGUUUCGUGCGAGGUCCAUAAAAAGGAAGAGAUCCCGCUCUGCGAAAUCGAAUCUCGAGAACGAAAGAAAGAGAACACAGUCUUGUAAUACCAUCGCACAAUUAUACGCAGCGUGACGCAGCCUUUCGUACAUGUAAUGAAGAACUGAUGAAUUAUCACAAAACUGAAAGCGAAAGACGAUGGAUUCAGCCAAUAAGAAGCAGGCGGUCAACUCACCGGAAAUGGCGUUGGCCAGCGAGGUGUUCGAUCAGUUUUGCAAUGCCACUACAUUGAAGUCUAUCCUCGGCUAUUAUAGACAAUUGUGUGAAUUGCUAAAAGUUCGACCGAAUGUCAUUAAUCAGUUUUAUCCAAAAUUGAAGGCGAAGCUACGAUCAUGGAAGGCACAAGCGCUAUGGAAGAAGUUUGAUCAACGAGCCAAUCACAAAUGUUAUAAUCGUGGUAAAGCAUGUCCGAAUACAAGGGUUUUGAUUAUCGGCGGAGGCCCAUGUGGUUUGCGAACAGCUAUAGAGGCACAGUUGUUAGGAGCCAAAGUCGUGGUGAUAGAGAAAAGGGACCGGAUGUCUAGGAACAAUGUUUUGCAUUUGUGGCCAUUUGUUAUCCAGGACCUACGAGGUUUAGGAGCGAAAAAAUUCUUUGGAAAAUUUUGCGCAGGUUCCAUCGAUCAUAUUAGCAUUCGGCAAUUGCAAUGUAUUUUACUUAAGGUUGCUCUAAUUCUCGGCAUUGAAUUCCAUGAAAGUGUUAGUUUCGAUUCUUUGAUUCAACCACCGGACAAUCAAGAAGAUGGCAAGAUUGGUUGGAGAGCAAAAACAUUACCAGUGGAUCAUCCAGUCUCUCAAUACGAGUUUGAUGUGUUAAUCGGAGCUGAUGGUAAAAGAAAUACAUUGGAAGGUUUUAAACGAAAAGAAUUUCGAGGAAAAUUAGCCAUUGCAAUAACUGCGAAUUUCAUAAAUAAACGAACCGAAGCAGAGGCGCGAGUUGAAGAGAUUAGUGGUGUUGCCUUCAUCUUUAAUCAAAAAUUUUUUAAGGAAUUGUAUCAAGAAACGGGAAUUGAUUUGGAAAACAUCGUAUAUUAUAAAGAUGACACGCAUUAUUUCGUUAUGACUGCUAAGAAACAUAGUUUAAUCGACAAAGGAGUUAUUCUACAGGAUCAUGCUGACACUGCAAAACUUCUCGCAAAAGAAAACGUAGAUCGUGAAGCGUUAAUGUUGUAUGCGCGAGAAGCGGCGGAAUUCUCGACGGAAUAUCAAAUGAUGAACAUGGAAUUUGCGGUGAAUCAUUAUGGCAAACCGGACGUAGCCAUGUUCGAUUUCACUUCAAUGUACGCGGCAGAAAAUGCAAGUCGCAUAUUAAACCGUCAUGGACAUGGACUACUUAUGAUCCUUGUAGGCGAUAGUCUUUUAGAGCCAUUUUGGCCUACUGGUUCUGGUUGCGCGAGAGGAUUCUUGAGUUCUCUGGAUGCUGGUUGGGCAAUCAAGGGUUGGGGCGCUUCGUUUUCACCAUUGGAAGUAAUCGCCGAGCGCGAAUCAAUAUACAGGUUGUUGGGACAGACGACGCCGGAAAAUUUAAAUAGGGAUUACGCUGCAUAUACUCUCGAUCCUCAUACUAGGUAUCCAAAUCUUAAUGUACAUUCUGUGCUCCCGAUACAAGUGCGCAGUCUUCUUGAUACAGAUGAUCCUGAAAGUAUCAAACAAUCUACAGUACAGCCUGAGAUCGAUGCUCCAAAGAAACGAAGACGUCGCGAUCUGAGAGUAGAGACUCAAAUUCAUCCAGAUACAUUGCUCCGUUGGCUGCAAAAACAAGUUGCAUUGUAUGAUAAAGUUCACAUUGAAGAUAUGGGUAUCUCCUUCAAAGAUGGUUUAGCUAUUUGUGCAAUCAUUCAUAGAUACCGUCCAGAUCUAAUAAAUUUUUAUAGCUUAAACACGGAAGAUGUAGUGAAGAACAAUCAAGUCGCCUUCGAUAUAUUGGAAAAGGAAUUGAAUAUACCGCCGAUAAUGACAGGAGAAGAAAUGGCUCAGUGUGAUGUUCCUGACACACUUACCAUGUUUUCUUACUUAACACAAAUAUACGAAGCUUUCAAAGGAGAUAUUCCAUAUAUCAAGCAUCCAAAAUUAGAACCAGAAAUUGAGGAAUGCAGUACACAUCCAAAACAACUGAAACAAUUGACACCUGAGGAAAAGUCUACGAAAAGGCACUCGCGCUCGCGGUACUCUAAUGAAAAUGUACAAUCUUACAUGGAUAAGAAAGACAAUACAACUAGUCGGCGUUCUCGGAAGAGACGUAGCACCGAAAAAAUGAGUGCGACAAUGGAUGAGAGACAGAAAAGACUCGAUGAGAUCGAAAAGCAUCGAAUCGAACGCAUGAAGAGGCGGCAAUAUUUGCGCAAGAUGGCAACGCAACAAUUCUACAAAAGUAUGCAAAUGCUACAAGCCAAUGCAAAACACGAGAAAGACGGGCCAUUUGAGGAUUAUUCGAUUUUCUUAUACCGUCAAACUGCACCAGAUUUUAAGGACAGAGUAAAAGAUCUAGAACAGAAAAUACUCUACCCAGACAGACAACCUAAGAUACACAUCGGUUACGAAAGAGGUAAUGUGGACGAAGAAUUUUCGGGCAAAAUAAAAGAUUUUGAAGACAAAUUAAAAGGGACAACAUCCUCCGAGAAAAAACCCAGAGAUCUUUUACGCGCCAUCGGUAAGAUCGAAAAGACGGACUGGAACGUAAAAGAAAUCGAAAAAAAAAUCGAAGAGAACAAGAUGGGCCGCGGCAUUCGUCAUGAUCGUGUAGAGAGAGUACCGAAGUGGAGUCGCGAGCAGAUGUGUAUAUGUUUCAUUCAGUUUUUAGCUCGGCAGAUCAAGAUGGAGAAGCGGGGCAACGAUCAAAGGGACACCUACAGUAAGUACGCUGACAUAGACAAUACCCUGAAGAAUAUAGGCAAGAAGAUCCGAGAGGGUAGCGCGCUCGGACACAAUAAAGUUUCAGCCAUGGCUGAGCAAUUUUCGAAUAAAAAUCAGGAUACGGAACCCAAACUACAGAAAUCGAAUACUAAAUCCACCAUCGUGCUACCAGUGCAAGGAAGUUCGGAGAUGUGCCACUUUUGCAAUAAAAGGGUUUAUUUAAUGGAAAGACUUAGUGCGGAAGGCAAAUUCUUUCAUCGUGGUUGUUUUCGAUGCGAAUAUUGCUCUACCUCAUUAAGAAUAGGAAAUCAUACGUUUGAUCGAGAAAAAAAUGGAGGCCGUUUUUAUUGUACUCAACACUUUGGAUUAUCUGGAACGAUGAAGACUAGAGCAGAAAAGAAGAGAAUCAAUUUAGUGAAUAAGGAAAAUGUACCUAAUGCUGGAAUUACUUUGAAAACACCAGAAAAGGCUAAAAUACCAUUGGAAGGCAUUGUUGGACUCGACCUCCUCGAUCGUGGUCAAACUCCAGAGAGAAUUGAAUUUGAAAAUCUAGCAGAAAUGUCAGAUCCUGAGGAAGCUCAUAGUCAAAUGGAUGAGGAUGAAUGGACAGACAGAAAUUUUGGUGUUUCUACUGCAGAAAUGGGAUCUAGUGAUGAUAUUUCUGAUAUGAGUGAUUCUGAUGAAGAUGAUGAAAUAUUUGAGGAAGCUAUAGAUCAGCCACUAACAACUGAAGGAACUCUCGAGUUAGCUAAGAAUUGGACAUUGCGCUAUUCUCAUCCAUAUACUACAAUCGGCCAGUCGGAUACUGGCAGCAACGAAUAUGAAGAUUCUAGUGACGAAUACACUAGCGAAGAUGAUGAAAGUGGAACUGCGACCGAAGACGAAGAGGACAUACGCGCUCGAGAACUCCGAAAGCAAGAGGUAUGGCUGAAGGUACCACCACGCAGCUCCGAUACUGAUACUGGCUCUGAAACAGAGGUUGCUUCUUCGGAGGACGCAUCGACUGAAGAAAGCGCAGAAAAUUCUGCAACAGAGAUCUCGACUGAUUCAGAAUUCGAACACGAUGAGGCAACUCCGACACAGCACGAGAUUCCUGAGAUCACUAUCAAUGAUUCGUACGUGCGGAAAACAAGAGGUACUUACGUCGAGCCGAAGAAAGUGCAGAUCAAGAGCAAGAUGAUCUCUUCGAUCAAUAGCAACCUAAAGCAGGACAAGAAGCAACAAGAUAUCAGCAACGAGCAGCUCAUGAAGGACAAUCAAGUUAAAUACGAGCCGAGUAAGGAGGUGAACUGCAACGUGUCGACUGCUGUCGACACGAAUAUCCGAACACCAUUGCUGAACCCACGAAAGGGGGAUUAUCUUUUGAAUCGCACUCAUUCCACCGGAGGAAUCGCCUCGAGACUCUCUUUAGAGUUGAAAAAACGUUAUUUACUGGGUGGAUCGGUUUUGAGUGGUUCCGUUGUAAAAUCAGGCUCGACGUCGAAUGUGGAUACGAAGCUGAGAAACUUCACUGAUGCGAUCUCCCAGCAUCAAAAGCUGUUAAAUCCGGCGCCGGAACCCAGUCCUACCAUGCAAGCAUUUCUCCAAGGUACUAGUAAGCUGCGAGCCAACAAUGCGCCGCUUUCUCCAUUAUCACCGACAAUUUUAUUUUCACGACAAUUUUCAACUGAUCGCUGCCGAAAUUUAUCAAACGAUAUUGCAUACAAGCCGACAACUCCGACAGAAAAUCCGUCCAAAGCACAGCAAUUACCUGAUUUAGUGAAGGAAUCCAGUAUUUUAAAAUCAAAGACAGCACCCAACAUCUGCGGGGAGUCUUCGAUAAAGGACAAAGAGUUAAUCGAUAAAUCAGGCUUUCUACAUCAAACUAAUAAUUCGACCAAGGAUUCCGUAGAAGACAUGAAAAAUUCGCAGAAUACAGAGAAAUUAUUUCUAAGCAGCACAGAAGAAAGUAAUGGUUUCCGGCCACGUAGUCCCCUUCACGAGACGUCCAUUGUUGUCCCACAAGUAGAUUGGAACAAGAAGAAGAACGAGGCUAAAGAUGCCAGCUCAGGCGAUUCUGAGAUAGACAGCGAUUCUUUAUCCUCUUCUGAUUCCAACGAGGCGGUUGAGAACGACGAAUUUGUCGCUAUAAAUCUCUCGCCACCCAGAUUACAGAUUCACAGUACUGAUGGUGAUCUUCUGCUGGACGAGAGAGUCGAUCGAUACAAAUCGAUCGAUUACGAUCCCGACGAUGGUCAGACCUUCGAGCCGGAUUCCAUCGAGGUCUCCUUCCUCCAGGAUCGCCGAUUAAUCGAUUCAUCGAAUAUCGACUCGUCCAUAGACAAUGCACGCCCCAUUGAGAUCCUAAACAAUAAUAUGGAACAAUUGGACCUGCGGGACAGUAAAAAGGACUGCAGCAGCUCCUCCGAAGUUUCGGCGAUGUCCAACAAGCAGGAUGAUUCCGAAGAGAACGAUAUUACCACCGCGGCAUUUACCGAGACAGAAUUCUCGGAAUGGGCUCGAGAUGGGGAAGCUUUGGUCUCUGACGAUCUUCGCGACGUGGAACUCGACAUUGAUCCUAAUUUUAUCACCAUACGAAGAAAUAACGCAAGGUUGACUUCCACGCCUGUGAAAAUCUCAAAAGAGGAGGACACAGAACUCAAAUACCCGAACAAUAGUACAUCGAAGUUAUUGGUGAACGGCGAGGAUAUUAAUUACAUGGACACGGACAACGAAUCACUGCUGGAUGACAGUCUCCAGGACGCUUCCAAUAUCGCAAUGUUGAGAAAUCGAGGCUACAUCGAGUUCGUAAACGUUAAGACAAUUCUUCCUGAUGUCCCAUCGUGCAAUUUAUCGAUCGCUGAUGCCCCAAUAGCAAAGUUGGACCUGGAAAACGAUUCCUACAGCGAAGAGGAAGAGGGCUUCAAGGAUGCCAAUGUGAUUGAGAUUGAUCCUAUUACUAUGGAGGAUGUGAUCAACAAGCUGAACGAGCCUGUCGUGAAUAAAUCAUCAGGAAGAUCAGAAAUUCAAGCAACUGAGGAACAAGGUGAAGAGAGGUUUGAGAAGAACACAACGCAGGAGCCAUUGGUGGAAGCUAUUAACAAGGAAUUAUUUCAAUCGAUGGAGGAAGACAGUUUAUUAAUAAUGGAGCAGGCAGAAGACACAACGACCAGCGAAGUAGUUACUAUACUCGCCAGUCCGGUUAAUCCUCAGAUAUCUAUAGUUCCUCUAGAAGUGACGGAAAAGCGCGACGAGCCAGCUAAAGCGGAUUCCAAUAAUCCAGACUACUUAGAAUACGUAAAAAGGCUGCAGUUUCGAAUCGCGGAAUUUAGCAACGCGAAAGAUUCUAUCGAUGUGAGAAAAUCGAAGAGGAAAAAUUCGAAGAGCCUGGCACAAACUGCGGAAAUAAUUACCGAAGAGAUCAAGUGUCAGGAAACAACAGCAAACAAUAGUAGUAUUAAUUCACCGGCGACCUCGAGAAAGCUUGAAGAAAUCACCAGAGAGCGAUCGAAGCAGAAGAAUGUCAUUCAGGACCUCCUGAUGGAUAAGGUCGAGGCUCACAAGCAAAAGUCAGCCGAAAAGAAGGCUCGAAGAGCCGCCAGAGCCUCAUCCUUUACCACAAUGCUGUCGCCAAUGAAACAGGAUCUAUCGUCUAACGUUUCUUCCAUCGGUAACAAGUUUGUGCCUGCUUCUAUAACAUCAACAAACAGUCCACCUGGCACUUCCGACGAGGCAAAUAAAUUACUGGAGUCCUCACGCUCUCAUGAGCAAUGUGAUCGAGUAGAAACCAAAGAACAAAGUCCAAAGAGGACCGAUCAGUUGAACGAAUCGCGAAUGGCAGACAAGAGACCGACUAGUCUGGAAGAUAUCUUCAAGACGCCAAUCGCCCCACCAAGAUAUAAGAGCGAGGAAGCGAGGAAAACAGCUGAGAAGGCCAGGCAAGAUGCCAGAGAACGAGCCAGGAUGAAGAGCGAUGAGGAUCUAGGUUUAAGUCCCGAAGAUAGGAUCAAGGAAUUGAGAAUGAAGAUUACUCGCAGGCAACUUUCGAUGGAUGAUGCGAGAAGUGAUGAUACGUCAGAAGUUGAGAGAGCCAAGUCCUCCUAUUUCAGCCCCACAGAUCAUUCUAAGUUGAAAUUGCAAACCAGUAAAAGUACUGACAAUAUGAAGAAUAUCGCGAAAAGGAUAAAUUUUCAGAAAUUGCCGGCUGCCAGCGCGAAAUCAAUGGACGAAUUGUUGAACACCGCAGGUUUAUCGUGUUCAGAUAAUAGUGCAAUGAUUAAGAGAGAUAAAAAGAAAGUGAAAGAUUCAGAGAGAAGGAAAAGCAUUAUACAAGCAGUAUCAGAUUUUUUCUUCAAGAAGGAAACCACUCCAUCACCUACCCAGAAAGACAAGCUGUCAAUGUUUCGACUCACUUCGAAAUCAAAAGGAAAGUUCGACAAAAUGGUCUCGUCAAAAUCUGAUACAAGACCUAAAAGCAUGUGUGAAGACAUACUUGUACGAAAUUUUGUCACUGAAAAUUCACCACCCGUGCCACCACCACCACUUAAUUACUCUGUCUCUACCAGUCAAGUAUCAGAAAUUGCAGAUAACAGUUUGUCGGAUGACGAUACAAAAACGGCUGCUUUGUCGACAUCGUGUACACAAAAAGUUACUGUAACUGAAGAAUCGUGCAAUAGCGUUCCACGCAAAUCAAAGUCUGCUAAAAAAGUAGCUAGACAAGCCCAAUUAAAGAGAUUACGUAUGGCUCAAGAAAUACAGAGAAAAUUAGAGGAAACUGAAGUGAAACAGAAAGAAUUGGAAAGUCGAGGUGUAAGUGUCGAGAAAGCACUACGUGGUGAAGGAGGUCAUCGUUCUGAAUCGUCCUAAUCCAAAAUUCGCGCAGCAGUCGUGCUUCCUUGAGAAUUUAUGAAACAUUGAAGCUUGAAAAAUAUUGUUCCAAUCAUGAAGAAGCUGAUUUACUUAGAGAAUGGUUUGAUCUGAUGAAGGAACGCACAGAACUGCGUAGAUAUGAAAAAGAGCUUCUAGUACGCGCACAAGAAGUUCAAUUAGAAGAUCGUCAUGAACGAUUGCAACAAG